AUAAGGUCAGCAUGCAGAUCCAUUUUCUGCCACCGAAUACAUUAGCAUGGGAUAAUGGAAUAGGACCCUGUCCUCCUAUUUUCAGUUGGUUUUGGCAGCGCGAGGACUAGGGUAAUGAUUAAUAGGGAUAGUUGGGGGCAUUAAUAUUUAAUUGUCAGAGGUGAAAUUCUUGGAUUUAUGAAAGAUUAACUUCUGCGAAAGCAUCUGCCAAGGAUGUUUUCAUUAAUCAAGAACGAAAGUUAGGGGAUCGAAGACGAUCAGAUACCGUCGUAGUCUUAACCAUAAACGAUGCCGACCAGCGAUUAGGAGACGUUGAAUACAAAACACCACCAUCGGCGCGGUCGUCCUUGGCGUGUCUCGGCUUCACGGCCGGGGCGCGCGAGGGCGGUUUAGCCCGGUGGCACCGGUGAAUGACUCCCUAGAGGUUGGUGAAAA
Molecule: ribosomal RNA, 435 nt
Filed under: Acanthamoeba genotype T4
Lineage: Eukaryota; Discosea; Longamoebia; Acanthamoebidae
Description: SSU rRNA
Rfam family: Eukaryotic small subunit ribosomal RNA (bases 1-365)
Source: RNAcentral